This 347-nucleotide long non-coding RNA is filed under the name Androctonus crassicauda. The record is from RNAcentral. Lineage: Eukaryota; Metazoa; Arthropoda; Arachnida; Scorpiones; Buthidae.
ACUUAACUUUUCUCUAAAAUGGUGUAUCUAUUGUAAAUAUCUGUGACGAUGGGCAACUACAUCCGAUCUUUCUAUGGAAAACGAUCUGUUAUCAAUCUUGCCGUAUUUGAAGUUUAUUUUUCAUUAUUCGAAGAAGCGAUCUUUCGCUUCCUUAGUAGUUUAUUUUCUCUCUUUCACGUACUAAAAUUUCCAGUACGGUUGGCAUAUUUAUUUUCUCUGAAAAUUUCUGACACAGUUGCCCGAAUAACAGAAAGAGCAAAUUCAUCCACAUCAGUUAAUACGGAUAUCCUUGAUCGUUUUUUACCUGGGGUUCGAAUUAUUUCUUCUGAAUCCGGUGUAGUUCUGUC